RNAcentral lists this ribosomal RNA (139 nucleotides) under uncultured eukaryote. Its description in RNAcentral is "partial 18S ribosomal RNA". It matches the Rfam family "Eukaryotic small subunit ribosomal RNA", at positions 1299 to 1458 of the family's 1831-position model. The record is from RNAcentral.
CGGUGAGGUGACUUGUCUAGUUAAUUCCGAUAACGGACGAGACCUCGACCUACUAAAUAGCCGACGUUUACAUCUGUAAGCGUUUGGCUUCUUAGAGGGACUUUGUGAGUCUAUCACAAGGAAGUUCGAGCCUAUAACA